UUUUUGACGCUGGCGGCAGGCUUAACACAUGCAAGUCGAGCGGAGAUGAGGUGCUUGCACCUUAUCUUAGCGGCGGACGGGUGAGUAAUGCUUAGGAAUCUGCCAUUUAGUGGGGGACAACAUCUCGAAAGGGAUGCUAAUACCGCAUACGUCCUACGGGAGAAAGCAGGGGAUCUUCGGACCUUGCGCUAAAUGAUGAGCCUAAGUCGGAUUAGCUAGUUGGUGGGGUAAAGGCCUACCAAGGCGACGAUCUGUAGCGGGGUCUUGAGAGGAUGAUCCGCCACACUGGGACUGAGACACGGCCCAGACUCCUACGGGAGGCAGCAGUGGGGAAUAUUGGACAAUGGGCGGAAGCCUGAUCCAGCCAUGCCGCGUGUGUGAAGAAGGCCUUUUGGUUGUAAAGCACUUUAAGCGAGGAGGAGGCUACUAGUAUUAAUACUCUGGAUAGUGGACGUUACUCGCAGAAUAAGCACCCGCUAACUCUGUGCCAGCAGCCGC
RNAcentral lists this ribosomal RNA (498 nucleotides) under Acinetobacter sp. A21. RNAcentral describes it as "bacterial SSU rRNA". It matches the Rfam family "Bacterial small subunit ribosomal RNA", at positions 33 to 518 of the family's 1533-position model. Lineage: Bacteria; Pseudomonadati; Pseudomonadota; Gammaproteobacteria; Moraxellales; Moraxellaceae. The record is from RNAcentral.